UACGUAGGGUGCAAGCGUUAAUCGGAAUUACUGGGCGUAAAGCGUGCGCAGGCGGUUAUGCAAGACAGAUGUGAAAUCCCCGGGCUCAACCUGGGAACUGCGUUUGUGACUGUAUGACUAGAGUACGGUAGAGAGGGGUGGAAUUCCUGGUGUAGCAGUGAAAUGCGUAGAUAUCAGGAGGAACAUCGAUGGCGAAGGCAGCCCCUUGGACCUGUACUGACGCUCAUGCACGAAAGCGUGGGGAGCAAACAGG
Molecule: ribosomal RNA, 253 nt
Filed under: uncultured bacterium
Lineage: Bacteria
Description: partial 16S ribosomal RNA
Rfam family: Bacterial small subunit ribosomal RNA
Source: RNAcentral